CUAAGGAAAACAGAUGGAUGGAGAGCAGAAAUGCUAAGAGAAAUCCAUCAGUUACGGAAGCACACUGCAAAAGAAACUUUGUUCAGUUUUGAGAGUACCAACAAUAAGAACUUGGGCCUGUAGCUCAGCUGGUUAGAGCGCACGCUUGAUAAGCGUGAGGUCGAUGGUUCAAGUCCAUCCAGGCCCAUUGAAAUGCAAAGAAAAGUCUUUAGCAUUUCAGCCGAGAUGGAGUAACAUCUNAAAGUUGAUAUUUUACGGGGGCAUAGCUCAGCUGGGAGAGCACCUGCUUUGCAAGCAGGAGGUCAUCGGUUCGAUCCCGUUUGCCUCCAUUGCCGGAAGGCCAAGUUUGUACGUUGAAAACUGAAUAUCUUAAUUCCAAGAAAAAACCGAGAAUCAUUGAGAUCAAUGAAAACAUUGCAAAGCGACCGAGAGAGUUCGAAAGAACAAACUUGCAA
RNAcentral lists this transfer RNA (455 nucleotides) under Lactobacillus delbrueckii subsp. bulgaricus. RNAcentral describes it as "ribosomal RNA". The stretch from base 114 to 187 matches the Rfam family "tRNA". The record is from RNAcentral. Lineage: Bacteria; Bacillati; Bacillota; Bacilli; Lactobacillales; Lactobacillaceae.